This 680-nucleotide small RNA is filed under the name Oryza sativa Japonica Group (Japanese rice). RNAcentral describes it as "sRNA Os10g0114101". Lineage: Eukaryota; Viridiplantae; Streptophyta; Magnoliopsida; Poales; Poaceae. The record is from RNAcentral.
ACUUGAUUUGCUGCAGGAGAGAUGGUUGCGAAGGAGAGCAAUGUCUCGAGCUUCUUGCAACUGAAGUUGCUAACACCAAUAGCCUUGGUGAGUCCUAGCCUUUGGCACUCCUCCAUCUCCUUCCACACUCCCUCCAUGUCCAUCAUCACAAGGUCAUCCUUGGAAUAUGUCAUUGACUCCGGAUCUUCAGCCAACCUCAUGCUCACCGGAAAGUGAAUCAGGUACAGAUCGAGAUACUCCAUCUGCAUCUUCCUACAAUAUUCGUACAAAUCAAAUCAACCACACAAGCCAAAUGCUUGAUCAUAUAUGCACCCUCUAUUUUUUUUAAUUUGCAGUUAUACUCACCGGAGCGCACGCCUAAGAGAUGGCAGGACAUGGCCGGGGUGCGCGUGGGCAACCCAUAGCUUGGACGUGAUGUAGAGCUCGUCCCGCGACGCGACGAGGCCGGCGCGCACCGCCUCCGCCACGGCGUCGCCGAGGAUGGCCUCCGUCUGGUACACGGCCGCCGUGUCGAAGUGCCGGUAGCCGGCCUCGAUGGCGCGCAGGACGACAUCCUUCACCGUCGACGGGUCGGUCGCGCCGAGCGGGAACGAAGCCGUGCCCAUGCCGACCCGCGGCAUCGGCUUGCCGGAGCUCAGAGCCGCCUCCGGCAUCAUCCCCCUCACAUGGUCAUGGGAUCG